GUGGAUGGUCGAUGCCCA
This 18-nucleotide unclassified non-coding RNA is filed under the name Dictyostelium discoideum. The record is from RNAcentral. Lineage: Eukaryota; Evosea; Eumycetozoa; Dictyosteliales; Dictyosteliaceae.